Molecule: non-coding RNA, 1557 nt
Organism: Chiloscyllium plagiosum (whitespotted bambooshark)
Lineage: Eukaryota; Metazoa; Chordata; Chondrichthyes; Orectolobiformes; Hemiscylliidae
Source: RefSeq, a predicted model, not a curated record
GCAGGCUCGAUGGGCCGAAUUCUGCUCCUCCAUCUUAUGAACUUAUGGGCAUGUUAUGUAACCAUCGUUCUUCACAAUGUGUUUGUCCAUGUGGCUAAUUCAGUGUCCAUGAUAACUCUGAUUGCUUCUUUGGUUGUCUUGUCAGCCCAUGAAACCUGAACAAAUCAAUGUACUAACAGGCAAACAUGGUCAUCUUCACAGCAGAGUCUGUUGCAACCUGGACCCAUUUGCAGGUCUUUACAUAAGCCCCUGGGCCAUCUUUGCAUACUCAAGAACAGUGAGUGAUUGCAGUGUGAACGAAGCCCAAGAGUUUAUUAAACACAACGUCAUCAAGGUGUGACCCAUGACCCGCGACAUCACGGAGUUAUCUUAUCGUCACAAUGUGUAUCCUAGUGAUAUCAGACAUCACAAUGUGUAAACUGGAUACACUUGAGACUGCACAAACAGUUCAAGGGAAGGAAAGUGAGGAGUAGCCAUAACUCCUAGUAAGAAGCUAUCGAGUACUGAAUGUGACGGAUGGAAGAACUGAACACGUUUUCUUUGUGAAGUGAAUAAAAACAAUAGUGAUACGACGAAGCAAUAGAUUCAAUGGAACGUUGCAAACAUGGUCAUUCAGGUAUCUUUGAUGAUAAAUCAAAUCCAUUCAAAAGGCUUUUCCUGCAAUCUGUGCUGACCCUCACUGCCAACCUGCUCAGCAAGAAUUUGAUCUGGCUUCAUCCACCUCUGACAGCAGGUGAUCAAUAGCGGGCAAGAGAAAGUAAGGUGAAGGGCUUAUGCUCGAAAUGUCAACUCUCCUGCUCCUCGGAUGCUCGCUGACCUGCUGUGCUUUUCCAGUGCCACAUUUAUCGACUCCAAUGAUAGUGGGCCCUGUUUGAUGGUAUUUGGCACCAGCUCUACUCUGUUCCAAAACCCAAGAAACCAAAGGCACUGUUUCAUCUCUCAUUCCUCACAGAGGAGGUAAAUCAUCCCCUCACUAUUUCUGACUGUCAUGGUUCCGGUAACAACAUGGUACACAACUGGGGUCAGGAUGAGUAAAUGAAGUGCGGAUUUUGUCAAACAGCCCACAGACAUAACAUGAGAUAGAAAACAAAAGCAAGUGGAUCCAUAAAAGAAAGAGUGAAUUCAGACAAAAAAACCAACCAAUGCCAAUGAACAUAUCACAAUGAAAGGAGUGUUGCAACUAAAAUUCUCCCCACGUUAUCCCUCAAUGCCCCAUCCAUUUCUCAGUGGCAGUGCUACAUCCUUUAUUUUUGAAUUGAUAGUUAACAAUAACCACCCCAACAAAUCUUUCGACAUGUCUUGUUAAAAGAACUAUUUUAUGGAAAGAAUGUUGAAGACAUCCUUCAGGUAAAAUAUGGAUAAAUAUUUGAAGUAGUGAAACUUGUUGAUUAGAAUUCAGGGCUGUGUUCUGACCAGUAAGGUCACUGGGGCAUUCACCGUUAAUAUCAAUAUCACAUUGUAUUCUACCAUCUAUUUCCAUUAUUCAGUGUAAGUUUCCACCACCCAGUCGGUGCAAGCUGGAUGCUUCACAUUGAACUCUCAUAUCCCUGUAUUGGU